AAAUUGAAGAGUUUGAUCAUGGCUCAGAUUGAACGCUGGCGGCAGGCCUAACACAUGCAAGUCGAGCGGUAGCACAGAGAGCUUGCUCUCGGGUGACGAGCGGCGGACGGGUGAGUAAUGUCUGGGAAACUGCCUGAUGGAGGGGGAUAACUACUGGAAACGGUAGCUAAUACCGCAUAAUGUCGCAAGACCAAAGUGGGGGACCUUCGGGCCUCAUGCCAUCAGAUGUGCCCAGAUGGGAUUAGCUAGUAGGUGGGGUAACGGCUCACCUAGGCGACGAUCCCUAGCUGGUCUGAGAGGAUGACCAGCCACACUGGAACUGAGACACGGUCCAGACUCCUACGGGAGGCAGCAGUGGGGAAUAUUGCACAAUGGGCGCAAGCCUGAUGCAGCCAUGCCGCGUGUGUGAAGAAGGCCUUCGGGUUGUAAAGCACUUUCAGCGGGGAGGAAGGCGGUGAGGUUAAUAACCUCACCGAUUGACGUUACCCGCAGAAGAAGCACCGGCUAACUCCGUGCCAGCAGCCGCGGUAAUACGGAGGGUGCAAGCGUUAAUCGGAAUUACUGGGCGUAAAGCGCACGCAGGCGGUCUGUCAAGUCGGAUGUGAAAUCCCCGGGCUUAACCUGGGAACUGCAUUCGAAACUGGCAGGCUAGAGUCUUGUAGAGGGGGGUAGAAUUCCAGGUGUAGCGGUGAAAUGCGUAGAGAUCUGGAGGAAUACCGGUGGCGAAGGCGGCCCCCUGGACAAAGACUGACGCUCAGGUGCGAAAGCGUGGGGAGCAAACAGGAUUAGAUACCCUGGUAGUCCACGCCGUAAACGAUGUCGAUUUGGAGGUUGUGCCCUUGAGGCGUGGCUUCCGGAGCUAACGCGUUAAAUCGACCGCCUGGGGAGUACGGCCGCAAGGUUAAAACUCAAAUGAAUUGACGGGGGCCCGCACAAGCGGUGGAGCAUGUGGUUUAAUUCGAUGCAACGCGAAGAACCUUACCUGGUCUUGACAUCCACAGAACUUUCCAGAGAUGGAUUGGUGCCUUCGGGAACUGUGAGACAGGUGCUGCAUGGCUGUCGUCAGCUCGUGUUGUGAAAUGUUGGGUUAAGUCCCGCAACGAGCGCAACCCUUAUCCUUUGUUGCCAGCGGUUAGGCCGGGAACUCAAAGGAGACUGCCAGUGAUAAACUGGAGGAAGGUGGGGAUGACGUCAAGUCAUCAUGGCCCUUACGACCAGGGCUACACACGUGCUACAAUGGCAUAUACAAAGAGAAGCGACCUCGCGAGAGCAAGCGGACCUCAUAAAGUAUGUCGUAGUCCGGAUUGGAGUCUGCAACUCGACUCCAUGAAGUCGGAAUCGCUAGUAAUCGUAGAUCAGAAUGCUACGGUGAAUACGUUCCCGGGCCUUGUACACACCGCCCGUCACACCAUGGGAGUGGGUUGCAAAAGAAGUAGGUAGCUUAACCUUCGGGAGGGCGCUUACCACUUUGUGAUUCAUGACUGGGGUGAAGUCGUAACAAGGUAACCGUAGGGGAACCUGCGGUUGGAUCACCUCCUUACCUUAAAGAA
Molecule: ribosomal RNA, 1550 nt
Filed under: Klebsiella pneumoniae
Lineage: Bacteria; Pseudomonadati; Pseudomonadota; Gammaproteobacteria; Enterobacterales; Enterobacteriaceae
Description: bacterial SSU rRNA
Rfam family: Bacterial small subunit ribosomal RNA
Source: RNAcentral